AUACUUUCAAAGAUAGGAGAAUAAAGAGGGCGUCAAGUCACGUUCGUGGUAUUUUUUUCAACAAUACUCGCCGUGUGGUGGCCAGUGGUCAGAAAGCGUCAGUCGUUGGAACAGGUGGAGUAACUCGUUCAUUGCCGGACUAUUUCGUCGUUUUCUUUACAAUACUGAAGCCUCUGGCUUAUCUACUGUGUUUUGAUGGAUUAUUGAAGUGAAUGAUAAUAGAGACUUUAGAAAUAACUGACAUUAUUGGUAUAUAAACGGUGGUGAUGUGUCAACAAAUCGCAAUUGACAGGACCCAAACACCGACAGGCUGUACACAAGUCUCCUGCAGAUGAUGAUUGAUCCUCCACUGGCAAUUUCAUUUGGACACUGUAAGGAGGAUAAGAAGAAGUGUGGGAUAUUGUACAGAGGAUUACAAAAUAGUUUGGUGGUCUGAAGAUUAGAGAAAAGGGCAGUGUCCAAAGGAAGGCUGCAGUGGAACACAAACUUGC
This 491-nucleotide long non-coding RNA is filed under the name Homarus americanus (American lobster). Its description in RNAcentral is "uncharacterized LOC121855288". The record is from RNAcentral. Lineage: Eukaryota; Metazoa; Arthropoda; Malacostraca; Decapoda; Nephropidae.